GAGGAAUUGGACUGAUAGAGCUAUAGAGGUAUUUUGUAAUUAUCAGAGCCCAGGACUCCUAUAGAAACAGGUAAGUUCACUUAUUUAAGUCUCUGGGCCAGGAAACUGCCAUUGCAGCAAGUGGCUUCUGGUUUAUGAUUCUAGCAGAGAAACAGCAAUGGUGACUUUCUAAGAAAACGUAAGUGACACUACUCGGGUGGGUAAAGGUAGGAAAAAAGUCGUAGUCAAGGUCAGACUUAUGAUUCCUACAUUCUCAAAGUAAAGGCUAGAAACCCUUGGCAUAAAUUGAUCUUGCCAUUGGCAUCUAUAAAUGGGACUAGAACUAACUUUUGAAUUCUGUUCACUUUGAAAGAAUGUUGCUGAAGAAAAUACAAGAGUACUGUAUUCCUUAUAUGGAGUCGUCGAGCACAGCGGUACCAUGAGGUCAGGGCAUUAUACUGCCUAUGCCAAGGCCAGAGCUGCAAAUAGUCAUCUCUCUAAUCUUGUUCUCCACAGUGAUAUUCCACAAGAUUUUGAAAUGCAGUCAACCAAAGGGCAGUGGUUUCACAUCAGUGAUACACACGUGCAACCUGUGCCUACAGCUAAAGUUCUGAACUCACAAGCGUACCUCCUGUUUUAUGAGAGAGUAUUGUAAUAGUUCCAAAGAGUGCUUUCUCCAGAAACAAGCUUAUGGCUUUUAAAAUGGCUGUAAUUAAUAAUAAUAAUAAAGAAGUAAAGACUAACUGUAAAA
Ailuropoda melanoleuca (giant panda) is the source of this 730-nucleotide long non-coding RNA. RefSeq lists it as uncharacterized. NCBI's taxonomy places the organism in Eukaryota, Metazoa, Chordata, Mammalia, Carnivora, Ursidae. The record is from RefSeq and is a predicted model, not a curated record. The transcript is spliced from 2 exons.